UAGUCCACGCCGUAAACGAUGAGUGCUAGCUGUUGGGACCUUAAGGUUUCAGUGGCGCAGCUAACGCAUUAAGCACUCCGCCUGGGGAGUACGGCCGCAAGGUUAAAACUCAAAGAAAUUGACGGGGACCCGCACAAGCGGUGGAGCAUGUGGUUUAAUUCGAGGCAACGCGAAGAACCUUACCAGGACUUGACAUGCCGGUCGCGGAUCGUAGAGAUACUUUCCUUCAGCUCGGCUGGACCGUGCACAGGUGCUGCAUGGCUGUCGUCAGCUCGUGUCGUGAGAUGUUGGGUUAAGUCCCGCAACGAGCGCAACCCUCAUCCUUAGUUGCCAUCAGUUCGGCUGGGCACUCUAAGGAAACUGCCGGGGUCAACCCGGAGGAAGGUGGGGAUGACGUCAAGUCUUCAUGGCCCUUAUGUCCUGGGCUACACACGUGCUACAAUGGUGGUGACAGUGCGCAGCCACUCCGCGAGGAGGAGCUAAUCGCUAAAAACCAU
Molecule: ribosomal RNA, 497 nt
Filed under: uncultured bacterium
Lineage: Bacteria
Description: bacterial SSU rRNA
Rfam family: Bacterial small subunit ribosomal RNA
Source: RNAcentral